Molecule: transfer RNA, 63 nt
Filed under: Alicella gigantea
Lineage: Eukaryota; Metazoa; Arthropoda; Malacostraca; Amphipoda; Alicellidae
Description: tRNA-Trp
Source: RNAcentral
UAAACUUUAAGUUAUAUAAACUAAGGGCCUUCAAAGCCCUAUUAAGGGUUACCCUAAGUUUAA